This 775-nucleotide ribosomal RNA is filed under the name uncultured Neocallimastigales. Its description in RNAcentral is "partial large subunit ribosomal RNA". It matches the Rfam family "Eukaryotic large subunit ribosomal RNA", at positions 26 to 633 of the family's 3401-position model. Lineage: Eukaryota; Fungi; Neocallimastigomycota; Neocallimastigomycetes; Neocallimastigales. The record is from RNAcentral.
CGCAUCUGUGCAUGCAGCAUAUCAAUAAGCGGAGGAAAAGAAACUAACAAGGAUUCCCUUAGUAACGGCGAGUGAAGCGGGAAGAGCUCAAAUUUGAAAUCUUCAAGGUUUUACCUUGACGAAUUGUAGUUUAAAGAAGUGUUUUCUGCUGAAGUUUUGGUAAAAGUUCUUUGGAAUAGGACAUCAUAGAGGGUGAGAAUCCCGUAUUUGACCAUUAUUUUCAGCUUUGUGAUACACUUUCAAAGAGUCGGAUUGUUUGGGAAUGCAGUCCAAAAUGGGUGGUAAAUUUCAUCUAAAGCUAAAUAUUGGCGAGAGACCGAUAGCGAACAAGUACCGUGAGGGAAAGAUGAAAAGAACUUUGAAAAGAGAGUUAAACAGUACGUGAAAUUGUCAAAAGGGAAGCGUUUGACACCAGUGUUGUUUUCUCGAAAAUCAAUUAAAAAUGGCUCGAUUUUGUAUUGCUUGAGACCUUAAAAGCUCACUGUACAUUUUUCGUGUCCUUUUUAAUGCACUUUUCGUUUAACAAGUCAACAUCAGUCUCUUUUGUUGUAAAAGGGUCAUUGGAAGGUGGCUUUCUUUUCGGAGAAAGUGUUUAUAGCCUUCGGCCUCUGCAAUCGGAGAGACUGAGGUCUGCAGCGUAGACUCUUCGGGGUUAGAUACAUUUGUGCUAAGUUAUAGCAUUUUAUAGACAACUUGUUGACUAUGAUUAGUCUUGUAGCUUACUCGCUUAUGCUAUUUUACCUACGCUUAGGAUGUUGAUAGUCACAGCGUGUAC